This 446-nucleotide ribosomal RNA is filed under the name uncultured bacterium. RNAcentral's name for it is "partial 16S ribosomal RNA". It matches the Rfam family "Bacterial small subunit ribosomal RNA", at positions 338 to 795 of the family's 1533-position model. The record is from RNAcentral.
CCUACGGGCGGCAGCAGUCGAGAAUCAUUCACAAUGGGGGAAACCCUGAUGGUGCGACGCCGCGUGGGGGAAUGAAGGUCUUCGGAUUGUAAACCCCUGUCAUGUGGGAGCAAAUUAAAAAGAUAGUACCACAAGAGGAAGAGACGGCUAACUCUGUGCCAGCAGCCGCGGUAAUACAGAGGUCUCAAGCGUUGUUCGGAAUCACGGGGCGUAAAGCGUGCGUAGGCUGUUUCGUAAGUCGUGUGUGAAAGGCGCGGGCUCAACCCGCGGACGGCACAUGAUACUGCGAGACUAGAGUAAGGGAGGGGGAACCGGAAUUCUCGGUGUAGCAGUGAAAUGCGUAGAUAUCGAGAGGAACACUCGUGGCGAAGGCGGGUUCCUGGACAUUAACUGACGCUGAGGCACGAAGGCCAGGGGAGCGAAAGGGAUUAGAUACCCUUGUAGUC